GCAUGAUGACGAAACAAUUUUGCACGUCAGUUUGAAUUAGCAAAUGUGAAGAUGAAAUUGACACAGCUAUUUUAUGGGCUGUCCUGAUCU
This is a small nucleolar RNA of Trypanosoma brucei brucei TREU927, 90 nucleotides long. Lineage: Eukaryota; Euglenozoa; Kinetoplastea; Trypanosomatida; Trypanosomatidae. The record is from RefSeq and is a predicted model, not a curated record.